GUCAAAGUCAAACAGACGGCAAAUCUAAAAAAUCAACUCCUAUCAAUGUAUGUUUAAUGUGCUGAUUAUUAAUCGCA
Long non-coding RNA from Syngnathus acus (greater pipefish), 77 nucleotides. RefSeq lists it as uncharacterized. The record is from RefSeq and is a predicted model, not a curated record. The transcript is spliced from 3 exons. NCBI's taxonomy places the organism in Eukaryota, Metazoa, Chordata, Actinopteri, Syngnathiformes, Syngnathidae.